Molecule: unclassified non-coding RNA, 229 nt
Filed under: soil metagenome
Description: partial internal transcribed spacer 1
Source: RNAcentral
ACGUAGUAAUAACGCGAGUUAUUAUAACAUGUUAACCCUUGUGGUGAAAUAGUUUGUUGUUGUUGUUUGGCGGGAUAGUGUGUUGGUGGUGUAAUAAUAAUACACUACUACAUUGCGCAACCGCCGACAUCAUUAUAAAACCUUUUUAUUACAUUGUACUAAUGCUAUCUUGUGGUAUGAUCGGGCGCAAGUCUGUGAUAACACCAAGUAAAACAAUAAUAACCAAAUA